Molecule: long non-coding RNA, 1349 nt
Filed under: Balaenoptera musculus (blue whale)
Lineage: Eukaryota; Metazoa; Chordata; Mammalia; Artiodactyla; Balaenopteridae
Description: lncRNA (ENSBMSG00010013226.1)
Source: RNAcentral
AGGCGGGCCUGGCGGCCAGGGGCUCUGGGACGCGAACGGGAGGCCGGCCGGACAGACUGACGUUUGGCUGCAACGCGGGAGGCGCGUGGCAGGGAUGGCGCUGGCGCGGGCCUGGAAACAGAUGUCCUGGUUCUACUACCAGUACCUGCUGGUCACGGCGCUCUACAUGCUGGAGCCCUGGGAGCGGACUGUGUUCAAUUCCAUGCUGGUUUCCAUCGUGGGGAUGGCACUGUACACAGGAUAUGUCUUCAUGCCUCAGCACAUCAUGGCGAUACUGCACUACUUUGAAAUUGUACAGUGACCAAGAUGUGACCAAAAUCAAGAAGUUCUUUAGGGAAGAGCCACCGUCUGAAGUUGGAACGAGACUUCAUCAGAUGUCAUAAGAAACUCUACUAGAUGUCAACAUAACCAACCCUCUGAAUAUAAAGACUAAAAUUUAUGAGUUGAACAGGAAAACAAUCCUGACUCAUGUGUUGUGUUCUUUACUUUUAAUUUUAAAAGAGGCUCUUGUAUAGUAGUUUUUGUCUAUUUUAACAUUGUAGUCAUUUGUACUUUGAUAUCAGUAUUUUCUUAACCUUUGUGACUGUUUCAAUAUUACCCAGUGAAAGCUUUUCUUAAUGUAACUUUGAGUACAUUUUAAUUGCCUUCUAUUUCUAAAACCCAAAGUCAUUAGUUGGGCUUUACCGUUCUUGCUAUCAUAUGGCAUACAUAUCUGCCUGGAUAUAUUUCUACUCUUGACCAAAGUUUUGUAAGAAAAAAAUCAAGAUUUGGGGCAGGGGGAUGGGGAGGGAGGAUAUUUUAUUGAGAACUAUUUACAAAAGACUUAUCUGUAAGUUCGAACUCAGGAGUGCAGUUUUAGCUAUCUGGACUCUACUCUUAACAGCUUUUACUUUAAAACUAUUAAAGUGUUUCUUAACAAUGAAAAAGAAAGAUCUUGCUAAAGUUAAAAUAAGGAACAUUUCACCUUUUAAAUAUUUAAUUUGUGUGUGGACUGAUUUCCAGAAAACUUUGGUGAUGGUUCUUGUGACAAAUGGUGGUGAAGUAGCAUUAUUACGUAAUGCUUAUAUAUUGUAGAGUUUUUAAUAGAAGGUAAAUCAGUUUCCUCUGAGGGCCAUUAGUAACAAUGUACUUCCUUAAAUUUAGUGUCAUGAUUGUAAUGGGUGCUGCAAAUGCAUUUGCACAUUGUAAUAUGAUGAGAUGAAUUGUUAAAAACUAUAGCAAAAAGAAAUGUAAACUUGGUUAAAAUCCUCUCACUCUUUGUAUUGCUUUUUUUUUAAAAAGAUUUUUAUUCCUUAAAUGUAAAAUGACUACCUAAUUUUUUGAUGUAAACUCAUUAAAUUCAAAGAGAG